UUUCAACCCCCAUCUCCCUGAUUCCGUUUGUACAUGUCUUCUCGCAAGGGAAGAGUAGUGCAGAUAGUCUCAGGCAACAAACAAACCUUAUUAACAAAUUUCACCCCCUUUUUGCUAGUUGACUUUUAUAUGUUGUCACUUCGGAUCAGUUGCUUCGGCAAUCGGCUCAUCGUGUACACACGUUUAUCUAUUUGAACGUUAAAAUUACAACUCUUAGCAAUGGAUAUCUUGGUUCUCGCAACGAUGAAGAACGCAGCGAAAUGCGAUACGUAAUGCGAAUUGCAGAAUUCAGUGAAUCAUCAAAUCUUUGAACGCAAAUUGCGCUCUUGGGUAGCCCUAGGAGCACGCCUCUCUCAGUAUCGGUUCAACAACCUCUCAGCAGCGUAGAUCUCACGAUUUACGUGUUGGCUGGAUAAUGAGAGUCUGAAUUUUACUAGUUCAGUCUCUUGAAAUACAUCGAGUAAGUAUCAUCACAUGCCUACGCAUCAUAGAUCUUCGGGUCUAUAGCCAAGUCUCUGACUGGUCUGCACGGUAGUAAGUGACGUGAAUACUGAGCCUUGUGCUCUCACAUUUACGUGUAACUUUGAUCGGGUGACUAUAAUAAAGGUCUAGGACGAGGUGUCGUUUUGGGAGCAGGUGUACUUAUGUUAAGCGGCGCAAGCUGCAAUCGGCUGAAGC
Molecule: ribosomal RNA, 678 nt
Filed under: uncultured fungus
Lineage: Eukaryota; Fungi
Description: eukaryotic LSU rRNA
Rfam family: 5.8S ribosomal RNA (bases 209-362)
Source: RNAcentral